GCAACUCGCCUGCAUGAAGUCGGAAUUGCUAGUAAUCGCAGAUCAGCAUGCUGCGGUGAAUACGUUCCCGGGCCUUGUACACACCGCCCGUCACACCAUGGGAGUCGGUAACACCCGAAGUCAGGAGCCCUGACCUUUUUUAGGAGGGCACUGCCGAAGGUGGGAUUGAUGACUGGGGUGAAGUCGUAACAAGGUAGC
Molecule: ribosomal RNA, 198 nt
Filed under: uncultured bacterium
Lineage: Bacteria
Description: partial 16S ribosomal RNA
Rfam family: Bacterial small subunit ribosomal RNA
Source: RNAcentral